CUCAUUUGAAUAGCAAGGGUAAUGGUGGACCGCACUUCUCCCUUAGAAAGACGUUGUGACCUGUCAAUAAAUAUUCUAAGUAUUUGGCUAUUAUGUCUGUUCUAAGUUAUACCGUUAAGGUAUUUUCUUUAAAACAGUUUUAGCCGUUUUAUAUACUGGAUAAAAUUGACAGUAACGAAUUAUGGUGUUGAGCCACAUGAAAUUAUAUAUAUGUAAAAAUAUAUAUAAUGGAAAGUGUCCUAAAAUAUGGCUGUUUGCAAGUGGGUUGGUAAAAAAUAGUUUCAAUUCGGAUUUUUAACCGGUUAACUAUUCCGCCUACUGUUGGUAAACUGUUCCUAGGACUGUGCUUAUUAUCACCGGUCGGCAGCGAUUCAGGUUCAGGCUCUUAUCCGACCCGUCUUGAAACACGGACCAAGGAGUUUAGCGUGUACGCAAGUCAUUGGGCCUAUAAACCCAUAGGCAAAAUGAAAGUAAAGAGUUGGAGUUUUGUAAAUUUUUACAUUCUCUACUUUAGGGAAGAUGGAAAAUAUUGUGCAGCAAUGUAUAAGAUUUUCCCGCAUUCCCAGGGCGCUUGAUUCUUGCUUUGCAAGUCAAUGCGCACCUAUAGCGUACACGCUGAUACCCGAAAGAUGGUGAACUAUGCCUGGCCAGGACGAAGCCAGGGGAAACCCUGGUGGAGGUCCGCAGCGAUUCUGACGUGCAAAUCGAUCGUCGGAGCUGGGUAUAGGGGCGAAAGAUCAAUCGAACCAUCUAGUAGCUGGUUCCCUCUGAAGUUUCCCUCAGGAUAGCUUGCACUCGGUUGAGACGAGUCUCAUCCGGUAGAGCGAAUGAUUAGAGGCAUUGGGGUCGAAACGACCUCAACCUAUUCUCAAACUCCAAAUAGAUGAGAUCCCCGGCUUUCUUAAAAGUGAAGCCGUGGGAAUAGGAUCAGAGUGCCAAGUGGGCCAAUUUUGGUAAGCAGAACUGGCGCUGUGGGAUGAACCAAACGCAGAGUUAAGGCGCCUAAAUUGACGCUCAUGUGAAACCAUGAAAGGCGUUGGUUGCUUAAGACAGCAGGACGGUGGCCAUGGAAGUUGGAAUCCGCUAAGGAGUGUGUAACAACUCACCUGCCGAAGCAACUAGCCCUGAAAAUGGAUGGCGCUGUAGCGUCGUGCCUAUACUCUGCCGUCAAUGACAAAGAUGAUUAAUAAGCUGUGUGUUAAUUAAUGUUGUAGUCUUGACUGCAGUAUUGUUAAUUACAAAGUUUAUUACUAUAUCAUCAUUAUGUCUUGAUGAGUAAGAGGGCCGCGGCGAUGAGCGCAGAAGGGUCUGGGCGAGAGCCCGCCUGGAGCCG
This 1333-nucleotide non-coding RNA is filed under the name Rhodnius prolixus. RNAcentral describes it as "Eukaryotic large subunit ribosomal RNA". It matches the Rfam family "Eukaryotic large subunit ribosomal RNA", at positions 432 to 1435 of the family's 3401-position model. Lineage: Eukaryota; Metazoa; Arthropoda; Insecta; Hemiptera; Reduviidae. The record is from Rfam by way of RNAcentral.